RNAcentral lists this ribosomal RNA (249 nucleotides) under uncultured bacterium. Its description in RNAcentral is "partial small subunit ribosomal RNA". It matches the Rfam family "Bacterial small subunit ribosomal RNA", at positions 26 to 285 of the family's 1533-position model. The record is from RNAcentral.
AGGACGAACGCUGGCGGCGUGCUUAACACAUGCAAGUCGAGCGGACAUCUUCGGAUGUUAGCGGCGAACGGGUGAGUAACACGUGGGCAACCUGCCCCUAGCUCGUGGGAUAACUCCGGGAAACCGGGGCUAAUACUGGAUAUGACCGAUCCAUGCAUGUGGGUUGGUGGAAAGUUUUUCGGCUAGGGAUGGGCCCGCGGCCUAUCAGCUUGUUGGUGGGGUGAUGGCCUACCAAGGCGACGACGGGUA